UGCAGCCCUUGUUCUAGUCUAGCGUGCGCCUUUCCCUACGCGUAGUAAUGGAGAGGAGGCAAACGCCUAGAGCGGCCGCGCUCUAACGUCCCAUCUAUCAAGCGUUGUUUUCCCUCUCGCUGGCGGUUUUGUUCGUCCGUUAAGCUCUGGCUGUAUGUGAAUUGCCUCGUUUUCUGACCUUGACCUUAAGUGGAGAGGCCCUGCCAGCUUUCUCAAGGCGUUUGGAAGGCGUGUAGAGGACCACUUGGAAAAAAUGGAUGGUGAACAAGGACUUGGAACUCGCCUUGCAUUUGUUCAUCGGGAAGAAAUUAAAGUGUCCUACGAUUUGGAAAAUUACAUUAUUUGCCGGACUGCAAACUCCACAAGUAUAAAUGAUAGAAAACGAAUAUGGGAAGCUGCUGGCAUUAGAGAUGAUGUGGUUUUAAAAAGACUUAAUUAUUUGGUAGAUGAUGAUGACUUUAUCAUGUGACUAACCUGUGCUACAAAUCAUGCACUUUGAGAAAAAUCCGAUUAAAAUAGCUGGAAACGAGGUAAAGAAGCAAGCAAUCAUGAAGAUUUGGCCUGCAAUAAUACUGCCUCUGCUGGAAUAUCAUGUAAAACAAGGUCAACAGUUCCACCACAAGCACCUCCAUCUUCGGCUAUGCCACCAAUACAUGUAAAAUGUAUAGGCUGUGGACAACAAAGUCAUCAUGGUGUACAUUAUAUGUUUCGAGUAAGUGGAUCAGAAAGAGCAAAGAAUUUUGUAACUGCAGCUAUUUAUUUUCAAGAUGACAGCUACUCUCAUGUGCCCGAUCUGGAAUCAGAUUACUUGGGCACUUGGUGCAGACAUACUGUACCACAAAACAUGUUUGGAAGAAUAUUGAAAGUUGUGUGGAAAUGGAACACGAAAUCAUAAAGACUAAAAACAAUUUCAGCUAAGGAUGUUGCGUUUCCAAAAGGUGCGGUGAUUUACCCGCUGGCCCAAUUCAGGUUAUAGCUCUGGACUGAGAAGAUGGCUGACUCUGGGUAUAAGACCUCCAUGUGGAAAAGAUGGAACAUGGGAACUGCCUCCGUUUCCUACCCUUUAAAGAACAGAAGAAGGAAAAGUUGAAAACCUGGCCCAGCAGUCGUCUGCUUAAAUUCAGAGAGCCAGUUUGGUGUAGUGGUUAAGAGCGUGGGACUCUAAUCUGGAGAACUGGAUUUGAUUCCCCACUCCUCCACUUGGAAGUCAGCUGGGUGACCUUGGGUCAAUCACAGCUUUUAGCAGCUCAGCUCCACCCACCUCACAGGGUGUUUGUUGUUGUGGGUAUAAUAAUGACAUACUUUGUAAACUGCUCUGAAUGGGUGUUAAGUCGUCCUGAAGGGUGAUAUAUAAAUCAAAUAUUAUUAUUAUUAAAUGCAACUAUCAAAAUAUUG
Eublepharis macularius is the source of this 1395-nucleotide long non-coding RNA. RefSeq lists it as uncharacterized. The transcript is spliced from 3 exons. Lineage: Eukaryota; Metazoa; Chordata; Lepidosauria; Squamata; Eublepharidae. The record is from RefSeq and is a predicted model, not a curated record.